GCCCGAGUAGCUCAGCGGAUAGAGCGUCUGCCUCCGGAGCAGAAGGUCGCAGGUUCGAGUCCUGUCUCGGGCA
RNAcentral lists this transfer RNA (73 nucleotides) under Actinotalea fermentans. It matches the Rfam family "tRNA". From Rfam's summary of the family: Transfer RNA (tRNA) molecules are approximately 80 nucleotides in length. Their secondary structure includes four short double-helical elements and three loops (D, anti-codon, and T loops). Further hydrogen bonds mediate the characteristic L-shaped molecular structure. tRNAs have two regions of fundamental functional importance: the anti-codon, which is responsible for specific mRNA codon recognition, and the 3' end, to which the tRNAs corresponding amino acid is attached (by aminoacyl-tRNA synthetases). tRNAs cope with the degeneracy of the genetic code in two manners: having more than one tRNA (with a specific anti-codon) for a particular amino acid; and 'wobble' base-pairing, i.e. permitting non-standard base-pairing at the 3rd anti-codon position. Lineage: Bacteria; Bacillati; Actinomycetota; Actinomycetes; Micrococcales; Cellulomonadaceae. The record is from Rfam by way of RNAcentral.